CGGAAGAUCCGAGCGUUAUCCGGAAUUACUGGGCGUAAAGAGUUGCGUAGGUGGCAUGUAAAGCGAGUAGUGAAAGACUCCGGCUCAACCGGAGGCACAUUAUUCGAACUCACAAGCUAGAGCAUAGUAGAGGUACCUGGAAUUCCUAGUGUAGGAGUGAAAUCCGUAGAUAUUAGGAGGAACACCGAUGGCGUAGGCAGGGUACUGGGCUAUUGCUGACACUAAGGCACGAAAGCGUGGGGAGCGAACGGGAUUAGAUACCCCGGUAGUCCACGCCGUAAACUAUGGAUGCUAGCUGUUAUCAGUAUCGACCCUGAUAGUAGCGAAGCUAACGCGUUAAGCAUCCCGCCUGUGGAGUACGAGCGCAAGCUUG
RNAcentral lists this ribosomal RNA (373 nucleotides) under uncultured organism. RNAcentral's name for it is "bacterial SSU rRNA". It matches the Rfam family "Bacterial small subunit ribosomal RNA", at positions 526 to 896 of the family's 1533-position model. The record is from RNAcentral.